CAGUAGCCGCGGGAACACGUAGGUGGCAAGCGUUGUCCGGAAUUAUUGGGCGUAAAGCGCGCGCAGGCGGAUAGGUCAGUCUGUCUUAAAAGUUCGGGGCUUAACCCCGUGAUGGGAUGGAAACUGCCAAUCUAGAGUAUCGGAGAGGAAAGUGGAAUUCCUAGUGUAGCGGUGAAAUGCGUAGAUAUUAGGAAGAACACCAGUGGCGAAGGCGACUUUCUGGACGAAAACUGACGCUGAGGCGCGAAAGCCAGGGGAGCGAACGGGAUUAGAUACCCCCGUAGUCCCUGUCUCUUAUACA
RNAcentral lists this ribosomal RNA (301 nucleotides) under uncultured bacterium. Its description in RNAcentral is "partial 16S ribosomal RNA". It matches the Rfam family "Bacterial small subunit ribosomal RNA", at positions 509 to 809 of the family's 1533-position model. The record is from RNAcentral.